Non-coding RNA from Mycena vulgaris, 93 nucleotides. The record is from the annotation of a GenBank genome assembly. Lineage: Eukaryota; Fungi; Basidiomycota; Agaricomycetes; Agaricales; Mycenaceae.
GGCCUGGUAGCAUAAUGGUAGUGCAGCCACUUUCUGUAUGGGGACGGGAUCAAUAUUAAAUGGAAGAUCCCUGUUCGACUCAGGGCCAGGCCA